This 1643-nucleotide long non-coding RNA is filed under the name Nicotiana benthamiana. RNAcentral describes it as "long non-coding RNA (NBEN_LNC004075)". The record is from RNAcentral. Lineage: Eukaryota; Viridiplantae; Streptophyta; Magnoliopsida; Solanales; Solanaceae.
UUAAAUACUUCGAGUAAAAACGAAUUUCCACCAAUUUUCUCAAGUAUGCGCUCGUCACCUCACGUACGAGGCAUUUAAGUACCAAAAAUCAUGUCCUAAGGGGAAGAAGUCCCCCACACAAGCCUAGACAAGCCACUUAACAUGAACCAGCUCAAUAUCAACUAGAAACCACGCCUUUAUCAUGAGUAUCUGACUCCAAAUGGCCCAAUUCUAUUCAUUUCAAUUACAUCUCGUAAAUAACAUCUCAAGCAACUAAUUCCACUAUUUAAAUUCAAAGACAAGACAUAAAUUAGGUAAAAUGACAAAAACACCUCUCAGGCGAAUGUGGUCAAAACCCGAAGUUCAAACUUAAAUAUAGUUACCCAUUCCCCCACGAAUCCAAUUAUGUGAUUAGUUUUGAAAUCACACCUCGGAUUCAGGUCCAACCCCUAAUUUUAGCAAAGUCUUAGGUUCUACCCAAUAUACCCAAAUUUCCCCAUUAAAAUCUUCGAUUUGAUGUUGAAAUUAUGUUAAAGAUGUUAAGGAGUGAAGAAAAUGAGUUAGAAAUAACUUACCAAUCAUUUUGAAGAAGAAUAAUUGCUUAGAAAAUAGCCACUUAGGGUUUUUUUUUUUAAAGUGAGAAAUAACUGAAAAUUCCGUGUAUUUAUACUCUCUGACGCCCCAGUGCAAACCACACAAACAGGACCGCGGUCGCGCUUGAAAACUGGGAAAUUUGCUACCCUCUGAAACCCCCCAGUGCAGACCGUGCAAAAAAAGGAUCGUGGCCGCGUUGGUGGAACUGAAGACUGUUGGUUCUCUAAAGCUUGCCGCGUGGACUGCACGAGGAUGACUGCGGUCGUGCAGCACACACUGCGGACUGUGUUAUGGCAAACACAGCCAUGCAACGCACACCGCAGACCGCGCUAAGGCGACCGUGGGCACGCUGGAGACUGCAUUUUUCCUUACAUGCAAUAUCUGGUGUUUUAAAGUCUAAGACCUCCUGGAACCUACUCGAAACUCACAUAAGCUCUCGGGGCUCCAAACCAAACAUACGCACAACCUUGAGUACACCCUACGAACUCAUCCGCGUGAUCAAAUCGCCAAAUAAUAUCAUAUAUAUCAAAUCAAGCCUCAAAGCUCAUGAUUUCUUCUCAAAUAUUUCAUACGACAUAACAUUCCCAUUCUGGGUGCGAAACACGUCAACCGACGUCCGUUCUCAUCCAAACUUUACAAAAAAUGCUUAAAUUAUAUAUAAGACUUGUACCGAGUACCGAAACCAAAAUACGGGCCCAAUACCCUAGUACUAAUCAAAUUUUGUUUCCAUUUCCCUUCAUUAUUUUCCAGAAAAUAAUUUCACAUAAAAAUUUAUUUCUCAGACUUGGGACGUCGGAAUUCGAUUCCGACUAUACGCUCAAGUCUUAUAUUUUUCCACGGACCCUCCGUGACCAUCGAAUCACAGGUCUGGGUCUGUUUACCAAAACGUUGAUCGAAGUCAAAUUUAUUCAAUUAGUAUCAAAAUUUAGCAGUUUUCUUACAGAAUUUGUAUAUAAGUUUUGUGGUUACGUGUUGGAACCGCGCACAUAAACCGAGACAACCCGAGAGGAAGUUUUAAGGCCUCGAAAGUAAAGAACAAAAAAUAAAUAAGUGAUAACCCCAUUGGGUUG